UUGUUUUGCAGAUGUCUUAAAUUCUCAUUCCAUGUCAAAGAAUCACAGACAGCCUAUAAAGGUGAACCCACUGGGGCUGGCUGGGGGAAAGGAGGAAGCUUGCUCCUCAGAAGAGU
RNAcentral lists this small nucleolar RNA (116 nucleotides) under Vulpes vulpes (red fox). RNAcentral's name for it is "Small nucleolar RNA SNORD22 (ENSVVUG00000016726.1)". Lineage: Eukaryota; Metazoa; Chordata; Mammalia; Carnivora; Canidae. The record is from RNAcentral.